This is a non-coding RNA of Microcebus murinus (gray mouse lemur), 2847 nucleotides long. The record is from RefSeq and is a predicted model, not a curated record. Lineage: Eukaryota; Metazoa; Chordata; Mammalia; Primates; Cheirogaleidae.
UAUUUAUUGAAUGAAUGAAUGAAUGAAAGACUCCCAGCCUCACUGUGGAGACAGACGCACAGACAAUAGCAAUGAGAGGAAAAGCCAAAACAGAUGUAUGGAAAUAGAUAUGGGCACAGAGGAGGAAGAAACAAACACUGCCAGGGGAACUCUCCCAUUGGCGGGUUGCAGAAAGAAUUGUGCAUUGAUUAACCAACCCCCCUUGAAUGUUAUUCUCUCAUAGUUAACAAUGUUGACGGCACAAUAUUGCCAUUUAACACACAGGGAAGGAGCUGGCUCCGUACCAGAUAUUCCAUGUGCAGGUCCCAAGGUAUUCAAGGAGGCAGAAAUUCAUCUGAGCUCUUGGCUCCCACACAGAGCACAAUGGCAACUCUGAAGGGGGCAGACAACCACUGCACCCACAGGCCCUGUUUAUUUUCUCCUCCAGUGGAGGGGGUAGCAUAGGUCAGCUGGAAUGGUGCAUCCUGAUGAAUAUUUAUUGACCCAAAAUGUCAUGCUGACAGACAUGUGGACAGGCAGACAAAGAUUUCUGUUACAGAGGCCUCGCUUCUCUGCUCUCAUGGCUCUGACACGGCUGACAUUUCCCUGCACGGGUCCUGACUUCUCCAGCUGCUCCCGGGAAUGCGGGUGUCUCCCGGACGGGGUCGCCGCAGACACUACCCCACAUGCUUUUCUGGGGGCUGUGCUGCCGCCCAGGCCUCUACCAAACGGUGGCCUCAGCAUGUCGGUUUCCUGUUCCCCCAACCAACACGUGCGCGCGCUGUCAGCUAGCAAGUCUCAACUGCAGUCUCCUCUCCACCAGCUCUUCCGUCUCCUCCCGGAUUCUAUCGCCAAGGCACCUACAAUAUGCCAGAUUCAGCGCUUUCCUGAAGGAGACCAACUUGGGGAAAAAUAACUCAGAACCCAAGUCAUCAUUUGAUGCAUUCCAUGUGGAUGGCCCCCACAUGAAGUAGAGCCCCAGAAGAGAGGAGCUCAGUGGAGCAUUGUCCCACUGAAGUGCAGCAUCACAAGGAAGUGGCCGGUGGUACAGCUCUCACCAUUGGCCCAAGAAGCUUGGACAAGGAGCCCCAAGCUCAAGGACAGAGGAAUAUCAUCACUGUGACAUGCAGAUCUCAUUGCUUAGCCCAGGCUGAGCAUGGAUGCCAUGAAGGUUCCAGGGGGCUGGAGAUCCUGGGCUCUAUCCUGGUGCCCACAUCUGGACCCACCUGCAGGGGACACCUAAGUAGCUGAUGCCUCCCGGAGCUCUUUUGUUCCAGUACUUGGAGGAGUUAUUUUAUCAUUUUUAUUUAUAAUUAACCACGCAGUUUAUUCACACAGCAGUGUGAACUUUUUUUUCCAAAGUGCUUUUAUUAAUAUCCGUCUAUUUUAUUUUUUAUUUGAGCCUCACAAUCAACAAACAAGGUACCCUAUAAAGAGAGGCGAAGAUUAGAUUUGACUAAGUUUAGGUGGGAAUCAGUGGUAGAGGCUGGAUUAGAAGCCAAGUAUCUUGAUUUCUAGACCUGUGCUCUUUCUACAAGAGUUCUUUACAAUGGGGAUAAUAAUAAACAGAAAACACUUCUGCCAUCCCUUUUAUUUUCAUUCUCCUCUUUAAAACUUUGACAUGCUUUAUUUAUGUCAGUUCUCCAGAGAUCAGUUUUCAUGAAACUCUAGUACUUUACUGGCUUCCCUCCAUGCUCAAACAAUGUUAGGUGGAAUCUCCAGUCUUGUUCUGAUUUAUUCAGCAGAUGGGAGAGUUAUUAUCAAUAUUUCUUCAGAGUUUGAUGGGGUAUUUUUGGAUGAUAAAGUUAGUUUCCAUUUAUCAUUAUUUUAUCCCCAGUGCUGGCUUUGGAGGCUUUGACUUUUGUUGUAUGAAUGUGAACCAUGAGGCUGCAUUUAACGUGGCCUGUUUUCCAAGCCAGAAGAGGGGUGACCAGAAUGCAAAGGUAAACGGUGGCCUUUGGCAACGCGGCGGAAAUUUUUGCUUAAAGAGAAAACCAGCGUUGAAUCAGAUCCUUAUUUCUACCUCUCGAGAGCUGGAAAAGGUCAUAGGAAACAUUUAGUAAUUCCAGGGCAAGGCUCUUGUUUUCACUGAUGCAGCAAAUGAGACCCAGAGAAGUCAGGAGAUUGUCUGAGAUCACACGGCCUGUAGGAAAAGAAUUUCUGACUGUGGCUUCUCACCCAGUGGAGAAAAUGCAUCCUGGCAACGUGGAGGAACGUCUACACCUGCGGAUUUGGCCGGGCUCCUCAUCUGCCCUCUGGAGGGGUCUGGACAAAACCACCCCUUCCUAGACGCUGUCAGCCUGUCACCCGAACUGAUUGGAAGUGGCCGGACUCCUGACUAAGCAUCCGCUAUGCGGCUUUUCAAGUGUGGGAGAAUCUCAGUGCACACAGAGGCCCAGAGAAAAUAAACCUGCAAAUAACUUUUGGGAAUGACCAGUUGAUCCCGAGUGCCCUGCGUGUGUGCUCAGUAUUGGUCAGCGGGUUUCACCUGAGCAGGUGGGUUGCUCAGCGUGGUCACCCGGCCACCUACAUCAAAAUCCCCCUCCAGACCUCCUCACGCAGAGCCUCAGGCAGCCGGGGCUGCUGUGCCGUGAGCAAUUCCCCGGCAGCGUUUCUGUGCUGACACCUGGGUGCUCCCCUUUUGUAAGCCUCACGCUGGCUGGGUCAGGUGUCUAUUAAUUAAGCCCCUUAGUUCCCUAGGAUAACAACUCCACAAACUCCAACAAGUCAUCAGAAUAUUGUGCUAAUUGAUGUCUUCUCUUUAAGCGCUACAAGACACCUCCAGAAAAAUAAACAAGGAAAAUCAGCUCCUUUCUUCUUCUGAAAUAGCACUCUUCUUAGCUGCCACUCUUAUUCAAACUCAAUAGA